Molecule: ribosomal RNA, 253 nt
Filed under: uncultured bacterium
Lineage: Bacteria
Description: partial 16S ribosomal RNA
Rfam family: Bacterial small subunit ribosomal RNA
Source: RNAcentral
UACGUAGGGUGCAAGCGUUGUCCGGAAUUAUUGGGCGUAAAGAGCUCGUAGGCGGCUUGUCACGUCGGAUGUGAAAUCCCGAGGCUCAACCUCGGGCCUGCAUUCGAUACGGGCUAGCUAGAGUACUGCAGGGGAGACUGGAAUUCCUGGUGUAGCGGUGAAAUGCGCAGAUAUCAGGAGGAACACCGGUGGCGAAGGCGGUUCUCUGGGCCUUACCUGACACUGAGGAGCGAAAGCGUGGGGAGCGAACAGG